This 330-nucleotide ribosomal RNA is filed under the name Acinetobacter baumannii 25935_5. Its description in RNAcentral is "partial 23S ribosomal RNA". Lineage: Bacteria; Pseudomonadati; Pseudomonadota; Gammaproteobacteria; Moraxellales; Moraxellaceae. The record is from RNAcentral.
CUCACCGAUAAACUCUCUGUCUGCGAACACAUUCACAAUACGGUCUUUACCAAAAAUGGCUAUAAAGCGUUGAAUCAAAGCAAUACGCUCUUUCGUAUCUGAAUUUCCACGUUUAUUAAGCAAUGUCCAAAGGAUAGGUAUCGCUAUUCCACGAUAAACGAUUGCGAGCAUCAGGAUAUUAAUAUUUCGUUUUCCCCAUUUCCAAUUGGUUCUAUCUAAAGUCAGUUGCACUUGGUCGAAUGAAAACAUAUUGAAAAUCAACUGAGAAAUUUGACGAUAAUCAAAAUACUGACCUGCAAAGAAGCGCUGCAUACGUCGAUAAAAUGAUUG